Molecule: long non-coding RNA, 329 nt
Organism: Stomoxys calcitrans (stable fly)
Lineage: Eukaryota; Metazoa; Arthropoda; Insecta; Diptera; Muscidae
Exons: 2
Source: RefSeq, a predicted model, not a curated record
UUCAUAGGAGAUUUACUUUUAUUGUUUGUGAGGCAUUACACAGAGCUCAACUUUAAGUAUUUAAUAAUGCCCCAUCAUUGGCUAAGACAGAAUGUCUGUCUUUGGAGAAAAUAUAUUCGAAAAGACCGAAGAUAUUUGGGUAAUUCUUUGACAAACUCUUGGCCAAUGUCUUCCACUUUUUUGGUAUGCAUAAAAUUAGGAGUACCAUGAGAAACUUUUCUAUAUUUUCCUUUGUGAAAAGUUUAAUAUUUAAACAAAUUGAAAAUGUUAUUUUACAAAUUAAAUGAUGACAAGCCCAUUAAAUCGAAGCCAUUAGAUUUGUCUGCAAA